AUACAUGCAGUCGAGCGGACAGAUGGGAGCUUGCUCCCUGAUGUUAGCGGCGGACGGGUGAGUAACACGUGGGUAACCUGCCUGUAAGACUGGGAUAACUCCGGGAAACCGGGGCUAAUACCGGAUGCUUGAUUGAACCGCAUGGUUCAAUUAUAAAAGGUGGCUUUUAGCUACCACUUACAAAUGGACCCGCGGCGCAUUACCUAGUUGGUGAGGUAACGGCUCACCAAGGCAACAAUGCGUACCCAACCUGAAAGGGUGAUCGGCCACACUGGGACUGAAACACGGCCCAAACUCCUACGGGAGGCAGCAGUAGGGAAUCUUCCGCAAUGGACAAAAGUCUGACGGACCAACGCCGCGUGAGUGAUGAAGGUUUUCGGAUCGUAAAACUCUGUUGUUAGGGAAAAACAAUUACCGUUCAAAUAGGGCGGUACCUUGACGGUACCUAACCAAAAAGCCACGGCUAACUACGUGCCAGCAGCCGCGGUAAUACGUAGGUGGCAAGCGUUGUCCGGAAUUAUUGGGCGUAAAGCGCGCGCAGGCGGUUUCUUAAGUCUGAUGUGAAAGCCCCCGCCUCAACCGGGGGAGGGUCAUUGGAAACUGGGGACUUUGGAGUGCAGAAGAGGAGAGUGAAUUUCCCACGUGUAGCGGGUGAAAUGCGUAGAGAUGUGAAGGAACACCAGUGCCGAAGGGCGACUCUCUGGUCUGUAACUGACGCUGAGGCGCGAAAGCGUGGGGGAGCGAACAGGAUUAGAUACCCUGGUAGUCCACGCCGUAAACGAUGGAGUGCUAAGUGUUAGAGGGUUCCGCCCUUUAGUGCUGCAGCAACGCAUUAAAGCACUCCGCCUGGGGAGUACGGUCGCAAGACUGAACUCAAAGGANUGACGGGGC
This 891-nucleotide ribosomal RNA is filed under the name Bacillus licheniformis. RNAcentral describes it as "bacterial SSU rRNA". It matches the Rfam family "Bacterial small subunit ribosomal RNA", at positions 51 to 919 of the family's 1533-position model. Lineage: Bacteria; Bacillati; Bacillota; Bacilli; Caryophanales; Bacillaceae. The record is from RNAcentral.